Molecule: transfer RNA, 72 nt
Filed under: Methanobrevibacter sp.
Lineage: Archaea; Methanobacteriati; Methanobacteriota; Methanobacteria; Methanobacteriales; Methanobacteriaceae
Description: tRNA-Phe
Rfam family: tRNA
About the family: Transfer RNA (tRNA) molecules are approximately 80 nucleotides in length.
Source: RNAcentral
GGGGCAUUAGCUAAGUGGGAAAGCGACGGUCUGAAGAUCCGUUUAUCGCUGGUUCAAAUCCAGCAUGUCCCA